GACAGAGGGUGCAAACGUUGCUCGGAAUUACUGGGCGUAAAGCGCGUGUAGGUGGAUUGGUGUGUCAGAUGUGAAAUCCCUGGGCUCAACCCAGGAACUGCACCUGAAACUACCAGUCUUGAGUGGUGGAGAGGGAAGUGGAAUUCCUGGUGUAGCGGUGAAAUGCGCAGAUAUCAGGAAGAACACCCGUGGCGAAGGCGGCUCUCUGGAACGCAACUGACGCUGAGACGCGAAAGCGUGGGGAGCAAACAGG
This 253-nucleotide ribosomal RNA is filed under the name uncultured bacterium. RNAcentral describes it as "partial 16S ribosomal RNA". It matches the Rfam family "Bacterial small subunit ribosomal RNA", at positions 524 to 776 of the family's 1533-position model. The record is from RNAcentral.